UACGAAGGGGGCUAGCGUUGCUCGGAAUCACUGGGCGUAAAGCGCACGUAGGCGGCUUUCUAAGUCAGGGGUGAAAUCCUGGAGCUCAACUCCAGAACUGCCUUUGAUACUGGAGAGCUUGAGUCCGGAAGAGGUGAGUGGAACUCCGAGUGUAGAGGUGAAAUUCGUAGAUAUUCGGAAGAACACCAGUGGCGAAGGCGGCUCACUGGUCCGGUACUGGCGCUGAGGUGCGAAAGCGUGGGGAGCAAACAGG
Molecule: ribosomal RNA, 253 nt
Filed under: uncultured bacterium
Lineage: Bacteria
Description: partial 16S ribosomal RNA
Rfam family: Bacterial small subunit ribosomal RNA
Source: RNAcentral